GUUGGUCGUACAGUGGUUAGCAUAGCUGCCUUCCAAGCAGUUGACCCUGGUUCGAUUCCUGACCAACA
Molecule: non-coding RNA, 68 nt
Organism: Nematostella vectensis (starlet sea anemone)
Lineage: Eukaryota; Metazoa; Cnidaria; Anthozoa; Actiniaria; Edwardsiidae
Source: Rfam